GGGGCGGUGGCGGAACAGGCAGACGCAGCAGACUUAAAAUCUGCCGGGGGAGACCCCUUGUGGGUUCAAGUCCCACCCGCCCUA
RNAcentral lists this transfer RNA (84 nucleotides) under Anaerolinea sp. RNAcentral describes it as "tRNA-Leu". It matches the Rfam family "tRNA". From Rfam's summary of the family: Transfer RNA (tRNA) molecules are approximately 80 nucleotides in length. Lineage: Bacteria; Bacillati; Chloroflexota; Anaerolineae; Anaerolineales; Anaerolineaceae. The record is from RNAcentral.